Strigops habroptila (Kakapo) is the source of this 309-nucleotide non-coding RNA. NCBI's taxonomy places the organism in Eukaryota, Metazoa, Chordata, Aves, Psittaciformes, Psittacidae. The record is from the annotation of a RefSeq genome assembly.
AUGAGGCUCCUCUGCAAGGCCUCGGGCUUCACCUUCAGCAGCUACGCAAUGGAAUGGGUGCGACAAGCACCAGGGCAGGGGCUCGAAUGGGUCGCAACCAUUGACAGUGAUGGUUACACCAAGUACGCGCCAUCGGUGCAGGGUCGCUUCACCAUCUCCAGGGACACCUCCCAGAGCACGGUCACGCUGCAGAUGAGCAGCCUCACGACCGAGGACACGGCCACCUACUACUGCACGAAGAGAGCUCGUGGUGGUUAUAGUGCUGCUUAUAGUGGCACCAACGUCACAAGAGGUUGCCCAAAACCUUGA